UGGGGAAUAUUGCACAAUGGGGGAAACCCUGAUGCAGCGACGCCGCGUGAGUGAAGAAGUAUUUCGGUAUGUAAAGCUCUAUCAGCAGGGACGAAUAAAUGACGGUACCUGACUAAGAAGCCCCGGCUAACUACGUGCCAGCAGCCGCGGUAAUACGUAGGUGGCAAGCGUUGUCCGGAUUUACUGGGCGUAAAGGAUGCGUAGGCGGAUACUUAAGUCAGAUGUGAAAAUCCCGGGCUUAACUUGGGAACUGCAUUUGAAACUGGGUAUCUAGAGUGCGGGAGAGGAAAGUGGAAUUCCUAGUGUAGCGGUGAAAUGCGUAGAGAUUAGGAAGAACAUCAGUGGCGAAGGCGACUUUCUGGACCGUAACUGACGCUGAGGCAUGAAAGCGUGGGGAGCAAACA
RNAcentral lists this ribosomal RNA (404 nucleotides) under uncultured bacterium. RNAcentral's name for it is "bacterial SSU rRNA". It matches the Rfam family "Bacterial small subunit ribosomal RNA", at positions 355 to 774 of the family's 1533-position model. The record is from RNAcentral.